This 320-nucleotide ribosomal RNA is filed under the name uncultured bacterium. RNAcentral's name for it is "bacterial SSU rRNA". It matches the Rfam family "Bacterial small subunit ribosomal RNA", at positions 1061 to 1382 of the family's 1533-position model. The record is from RNAcentral.
CGUGUCGUGAGAUGUUGGGUUAAGUCCCGCAACGAGCGCAACCCCUGUCGAUAGUUGCCAUCAUUGAGUUGGGCACUUUAUCGAGACUGCCGGUGACAAACCGGAGGAAGGUGGGGAUGACGUCAAGUCCUCAUGGCCCUUAUGGGUAGGGCUUCACACGUCAUACAAUGGUCGGUACAGAGGGUUGCCAAGCCGCGAGGUGGAGCCAAUCCCAGAAAGCCGAUCGUAGUCCGGAUUGCAGUCUGCAACUCGACUGCAUGAAGUCGGAAUCGCUAGUAAUCGCGGGUCAGCAUGCCGCGGUGAAUACGUUCCCGGGUCUU